RNAcentral lists this ribosomal RNA (497 nucleotides) under uncultured bacterium. Its description in RNAcentral is "partial 16S ribosomal RNA". It matches the Rfam family "Bacterial small subunit ribosomal RNA", at positions 28 to 523 of the family's 1533-position model. The record is from RNAcentral.
GAUGAACGCUGGCGGCGUGCUUAACACAUGCAAGUCGAACGAAGCAUUUAGAACAGAUUAUUUCGGUAUGAAGUUCUUUAUGACUGAGUGGCGGACGGGUGAGUAACGCGUGGGUAACCUGCCUUGUACUGGGGGAUAGCAGCUGGAAACGGCUGGUAAUACCGCAUAAGCGCACGGUGCCGCAUGGCACAGUGUGAAAAACUCCGGUGGUAUAAGAUGGACCCGCGUCUGAUUAGCUAGUUGGUGAGAUAACAGCCCACCAAGGCGACGAUCAGUAGCCGACCUGAGAGGGUGACCGGCCACAUUGGGACUGAGACACGGCCCAGACUCCUACGGGAGGCAGCAGUGGUGAAUAUUGCACAAUGGAGGAAACUCUGAUGCAGCGACGCCGCGUGAGUGAAGAAGUAAUUCGUUAUGUAAAGCUCUAUCAGCAGGGAAGAUAGUGACGGUACCUGACUAAGAAGCUCCGGCUAAAUACGUGCCAGCCGCCGCGGUAA